This 460-nucleotide ribosomal RNA is filed under the name uncultured bacterium. Its description in RNAcentral is "partial 16S ribosomal RNA". It matches the Rfam family "Bacterial small subunit ribosomal RNA", at positions 338 to 795 of the family's 1533-position model. The record is from RNAcentral.
CCUACGGGAGGCUGCAGUGAGGAAUAUUCGUCAAUGGGCGCGAGCCUGAACCAGCCACGUCGCGUGAAGGAUGACUGCUCUACGGGCUGUAAACUCCUUUUAUAAAGGAAUAAAGUGAGGCACGUGUGCCUUUUUGUAUGUACUUUAUGAAUAAGGAUCGGCUAACUCCGUGCCAGCAGCCGCGGUAAUACGGAGGAUCCGAGCGUUAUCCGGAUUUAUUGGGUUUAAAGGGAGCGUAGUUGGGUUGUUAAGUCAGUUGUGAAAGUUUGCGGCUCAACCGUAAAAUUGCAAUUGAUACUGGCAGUCUUGAGUGCAGUUGAGGUAGGCGGAAUUCGUGGUGUAGCGGUGAAAUGCGUAGAUAUCACGAAGAACUCCGAUUGCGAAGGCAGCUUACUAAACUGCCACUGACAUUGAUGCUCGAAAGUGUGGGUAUCAAACAGGAUUAGAUACCCCGGUAGUC